UACGUAGGGACCAAGCGUUGUUCGGAUUUACUGGGCGUAAAGGGCGCGUAGGCGGCGUGGUAAGUCAAUUGUGAAAUCUCCGAGCUUAACUGGGAACGGUCAAUUGAUACUGCUGUGCUAGAGUGCAGAAGGGGCUAUCGGAAUUCUUGGUGUAGCGGUGAAAUGCGUAGAUAUCAAGAGGAACACCUGAGGUGAAGACGGGUUGCUGGGCUGACACUGACGCUGAGAAGCGAAAGCAUGGGGAGCGAACAGG
This 253-nucleotide ribosomal RNA is filed under the name uncultured bacterium. RNAcentral's name for it is "partial 16S ribosomal RNA". It matches the Rfam family "Bacterial small subunit ribosomal RNA", at positions 524 to 776 of the family's 1533-position model. The record is from RNAcentral.